CGAGAGGUCCCAAGCGUUGUUCGGAUUCACUGGGCGUAAAGGGUGCGUAGGCGGUGGGAUAAGUCUGGUGUGAAAGCUCGGAGCUCAACUCCGAAAUUGCAUUGGAAACUAUCUCACUAGAGGAUUGGAGGGGAGACUGGAAUUCUCAGUGUAGCAGUGAAAUGCGUAGAUAUUGAGAGGAACACCAGUGGCGAAGGCGAGUCUCUGGACAAUUCCUGACGCUGAGGCACGAAAGCCGGGGGAGCAAACAGGAUUAGAUACCCUGGUAGUCCCGGCUGUAAACGGUGCACGUUUGCUGUAAGCGGAUUCGACCCCGCUUGUGGCGUAGCUAACGCGAUAAACGUGCCGCCUGGGGAGUACGGUCGCAAGAUUA
RNAcentral lists this ribosomal RNA (373 nucleotides) under uncultured organism. RNAcentral's name for it is "bacterial SSU rRNA". It matches the Rfam family "Bacterial small subunit ribosomal RNA", at positions 525 to 896 of the family's 1533-position model. The record is from RNAcentral.